Molecule: ribosomal RNA, 468 nt
Filed under: uncultured bacterium
Lineage: Bacteria
Description: partial 16S ribosomal RNA
Rfam family: Bacterial small subunit ribosomal RNA
Source: RNAcentral
GACGAACGCUGGCGGCGUGCUUAACACAUGCAAGUCGAACGGAAAGGCCCUGCUUUUGUGGGGUGCUCGAGUGGCGAACGGGUGAGUAACAAGUGAGUAACCUGCCCUUUACUUUUGGAUAACUUCAGGAAACUGGGGCUAAUACCGGAUAGGAGCUCCUGCUGCAUGGUGGGGGUUGGAAAGUUUCGGCGGUUGGGGAUGGACUCGCGGCUUAUCAGCUUGUUGGUGGGGUAGUGGCUUACCAAGGCUUUGACGGGUAGCCGGCCUGAGAGGGUGACCGGCCACAUUGGGACUGAGAUACGGCCCAGAAUCCUACGGGAGGCAGCAGUGGGGAAUAUUGCACAAUGGGCGGAAGCCUGAUGCAGCAACGCCGCGUGCGGGAUGACGGCCUUCGGGUUGUAAACCGCUUUCGCCUGUGACGAAGCGUGAGUGACGGUAAUGGGUAAAGAAGCACCGGCUAACUACGUG